Molecule: non-coding RNA, 210 nt
Filed under: Bacillus sp. (in: firmicutes)
Lineage: Bacteria; Bacillati; Bacillota; Bacilli; Caryophanales; Bacillaceae
Description: Bacillus sp. Lysine sequence
Rfam family: Lysine riboswitch aptamer
About the family: Riboswitches are metabolite binding domains within certain messenger RNAs that serve as precision sensors for their corresponding targets.
Source: RNAcentral
GGAUGAGGUAGAGGUCGCGGAUAGGAAGAGUAUGCGCGUAGAGACGUUGAAGAGCCGUCAAUGACACGCCGCCGAAAGGACUACCCGCCGAAGCCUGUACCGCCGCUCUAACUGCGGUGCAGGCUGGGACCGUUUCCGAAAGGAACGGAACUGUCACGGGGCAUUUUCCUUUUUGUCACAGGGAAUGCACUGUGUUGCGCUAUCUUCUCA